UACGUAGGGAGCAAGCGUUGUUCGGAUUUACUGGGCGUAAAGGGCGCGUAGGCGGCGCGACAAGUCACUUGUGAAAUCUCCGGGCUUAACUCGGAACGGUCAAGUGAAACUGUCAUGCUAGAGUGCAGAAGGGGCAAUCGGAAUUCUUGGUGUAGCGGUGAAAUGCGUAGAUAUCAAGAGGAACACCUGAGGUGAAGACGGGUUGCUGGGCUGACACUGACGCUGAGGCGCGAAAGCGUGGGGAGCAAACAGG
Molecule: ribosomal RNA, 253 nt
Filed under: uncultured bacterium
Lineage: Bacteria
Description: partial 16S ribosomal RNA
Rfam family: Bacterial small subunit ribosomal RNA
Source: RNAcentral